This 245-nucleotide ribosomal RNA is filed under the name uncultured bacterium. RNAcentral describes it as "partial 16S ribosomal RNA". It matches the Rfam family "Bacterial small subunit ribosomal RNA", at positions 524 to 768 of the family's 1533-position model. The record is from RNAcentral.
UACGUAGGAGGCGAGCGUUGUCCGGAUUUAUUGGGCGUAAAGAGCGCGUAGGCGGCCUGGCAAGUUGGGUGUGAAAUCCCCUGGCUUAACUGGGGGGAGUCAUCCGAUACUGCUAAGCUUGAGGUCGGCAGAGGAAGGUAGAAUUCCCGGUGUAGUGGUGAAAUGCGUAGAUAUCGGGAGGAAUACCAGUGGCGAAGGCGGCCUUCUGGGCCGAUCCUGACGCUGAGGCGCGAAAGCGUGGGGAG